GGUAGGUAGGGGCCAGCUAGACUACAGUAGAGAGGGGUAGGUAGGGGCCAGCUAGACUACAGUAGAGAGGUAGGUAGGGGCCAGCUAGACUACAGUAGAGGUAGGUAGGGGCCAGCUAGACUACAGUAGAGAGGGGUAGGUAGGGGCCAGCUUGACUACAGUAGAGAGGUAGGUAGGGGCCAGCUAGACUACAGUAGAGGUAGGUAGAGAGGCCAGCUAGACUACAGUAGAGAGAGGUAGGUAGGGGCCAGCUUGACUACAGUAGAGAGAGGUAGGUAGGGGCCAGCUAGACUACAGUAGAGAGGUAGGUAGAGGCCAGCUAGACUACAGUAGAGAGUAGGUAGGGGCCAGCUUGACUACAGUAGAGAGAGGUAGGUAGGGGCCAGCUAGACUACAGUAGAGAGAGGUAGGUAGGGGCCAGCUUGACUACAGUAGAGAGAGGUAGGUAGGGGCCAGCUAGACUACAGUAGAGAGGGGUAGGUAGGGGCCAGCUAGACUACAGUAGAGAGAGGUAGGUAGAGGCCAGCUAGACUACAGUAGAGGGGUAGGUAGGGGCCAGCUAGACUACAGUAGAGAGAGGUAGGUAGGGGCCAGCUUGACUACAGUAGAGAGGGGUAGGUAGGGGCCAGCUAGACUACAGUAGAGGUAGGUAGAGAGGCCAGCUAGACUACAGUAGAGAGGUAGGUAGGGGCCAGCUUGACUACAGUAGAGAGAGGUAGGUAGGGGCCAGCUUGACUACAGUAGAGAGAGGUAGGUAGGGGCCAGCUUGACUACAGUAGAGAGAGGUAGGUAGGGGCCAGCUUGACUACAGUAGAGAGAGGUAGGUAGGGGCCAGCUUGACUACAGUAGAGAGAGUAGGUAGGGGCCAGCUUGACUACAGUAGAGAGAGGUAGGUAGAGGCCAGCUAGACUACAGUAGAGAGAGGUAGGUAGGGGCCAGCUAGACUACAGUAGAGAGAGGUAGGUAGGGGCCAGCUUGACUACAGUAGAGAGAGGUAGGUAGGGGCCAGCUAGACUACAGUAGAGAGAGGUAGGUAGGGGCCAGCUAGACUACAGUAGAGAGGGGUAGGUAGAGGCCAGCUAGACUACAGUAGAGAGAGGUAGGUAGGGGCCAGCUAGACUACAGUAGAGAGAGGUAGGUAGGGGUCAGCUUGACUACAGUAGAGAGAGGUAGGUAGGGGCCAGCUUGACUACAGUAGAGAGAGGUAGGUAGGGGCCAGCUAGACUACAGUAGAGAGAGGUAGGUAGGGGCCAGCUUGACUACAGUAGAGAGAGGUAGGUAGAGGCCAGCUAGACUACAGUAGAGGGGUAGGUAGGGGCCAGCUUGACUACAGUAGAGAGAGGUAGGUAGGGGCCAGCUUGACUACAGUAGAGAGAGGUAGGUAGGGGCCAGCUUGACUACAGUAGAGAGAGGUAGGUUGAGGCCAGCUAGACUACAGAAGAGGGAAAGAGAUUUAACAGAUUUAAAUCAGACUAGAAAAAAAUCCACCACACAGAGCCAUAGAGAGACUGACAGAAACUCCCACAGUAAGACACACACACUUGCAAUACCUAGAGUUUUGUGUAGAUGGCGCUGUUACACUAGUCAGACUCCAACACUACCAGUAAGGGAUUAACAGUCAGUG
Oncorhynchus keta (chum salmon) is the source of this 1624-nucleotide long non-coding RNA. RefSeq lists it as uncharacterized. The record is from RefSeq and is a predicted model, not a curated record. NCBI's taxonomy places the organism in Eukaryota, Metazoa, Chordata, Actinopteri, Salmoniformes, Salmonidae. The transcript is spliced from 10 exons.